UUUGCAAUCGAUCCUAUACCCGAAGCGUAUGGGACACGACGCAUAAUGUUUUAUUUGCUAUGUUCUCAAAAUUCGAAUUGUGAAGAGGAAUGUCGUAAUCAUAAUCGAAAUUUUAAGAACACACUAUGUACCUUUGACUAAAUUUAUUAACAUUUCUCAACCUAAUCCUUUAGAUUUGAAAUGAAGCAUAAUAUUCUCUCCCUUAAUUAUAGCAAAACAACUAUUCCAUCCUUACAACUUUGCAAAGAAUGACUCUUGUUUUCUAUAAUUAAUAUUGCCAACUUGCAAUACUUUCCUUAAUAAUCAUACAAUCAUAACUUUUAUGCUCCCACUAUCAUGAUGAUUAUUAUAAAACAUAACACUUAUGCUCCCACUAGCUUCGACAUGUAUUCAUAAACAUCUUAACUUUCAGAAAAACAAUGCUUAUUGAAUUUCUUAAGUUCAUGUUUCUAAUACUUAGUGCUUUGAUAAUCUUUUAUCAAGGCUUCUUGAACUUAUACACCUUUGCCUUAGAUAGUUCAUAUGUGUGUCUAAACAAUUAAGACUAAUUGCCAAACCUCACAAUUCAAAUUAUGGAAAGGGAUACCGUAACCAUAAUCGAAUUCGAGAAUGCAAUUUUACAAUCACUAUCUUCUUAAAAUCUUUCUUAGUGAAAGCAUUUCCUCACAAUCAUUUUCAUGAAGGAGGGAAUCUUAUGACACUUAGAUUUUAAUGGUGUAUGUGUUCCUAUCCAUGUGAAUUUGUCAAAACCAAAGUUUACGACAAAUUCAAACUCAUAUGGACCGAACUUUCUUAAUCUUGAUUUCUUGCCUUAUGGUAGCACAGCUGCCCACCAUGUCUUCCAAGUAGUUAAGCAGCUCACCCUUUCCUAUCAAUGUACCUUUCAUUGAUUAAGGUCCUUGCCUUUUAUACAUUCAAAUGAGAACUCAUAGGACUCACAUGCAUAAUUAACUCAAUUGGAACAGCGCAGAAACAUUAUAAUGUCAACACGAUAGGUUGUAAACCUCAAAUCGUGUGCUAGUGAUGAUUGAUAAGGUUUAUUUUAUUUGUUCUUGAAACCUUUCAAAAAAUUUAAGACUCCCACUGACUCCUUGACAUAUAAGAUUCUCUUGUCAAUAAACAUUUCUUG
This 1129-nucleotide long non-coding RNA is filed under the name Lactuca sativa (garden lettuce). RNAcentral's name for it is "long non-coding RNA (LSAT_LNC002586)". The record is from RNAcentral. Lineage: Eukaryota; Viridiplantae; Streptophyta; Magnoliopsida; Asterales; Asteraceae.